UACGUAGGGUGCAAGCGUUGUCCGGAAUUAUUGGGCGUAAAGAGCUCGUAGGCGGUUCGUCGCGUCGGCUGUGAAAUCCCGAGGCUCAACCUCGGGUCUGCAGUCGAUACGGGCGGACUGGAGUUCGGCAGGGGAGACUGGAAUUCCUGGUGUAGCGGUGAAAUGCGCAGAUAUCAGGAGGAACACCAGCGGCGAAGGCGGCGCUCUGGGCCGGAACUGACGCUGAGGAGCGAAAGCGUGGGUAGCAAACAGG
This 253-nucleotide ribosomal RNA is filed under the name uncultured bacterium. Its description in RNAcentral is "partial 16S ribosomal RNA". It matches the Rfam family "Bacterial small subunit ribosomal RNA", at positions 524 to 776 of the family's 1533-position model. The record is from RNAcentral.